Molecule: transfer RNA, 67 nt
Filed under: bovine gut metagenome
Rfam family: tRNA
About the family: Transfer RNA (tRNA) molecules are approximately 80 nucleotides in length. Their secondary structure includes four short double-helical elements and three loops (D, anti-codon, and T loops).
Source: RNAcentral
ACCUUUAGCUCAGUUGGUAGAGCAACUGACUCUUAAUCAGUGGGUCCACGGUUCGAGUCCGUGAAGG